Anas platyrhynchos (mallard) is the source of this 1038-nucleotide long non-coding RNA. RefSeq lists it as uncharacterized. NCBI's taxonomy places the organism in Eukaryota, Metazoa, Chordata, Aves, Anseriformes, Anatidae. The record is from RefSeq and is a predicted model, not a curated record.
GUAGGCUAAAAAGGAGUAAAAAGGGGGUGAAAUAUUAGUCUUCUACAGUCAAAUGCAGGCUUCAAAUAAGACAGACUGUGGCUUACUUCAGUUUCAUUGAGCUGGACUAGCAUAUUUGGUUAUUUACCUAGCUGUUGUAUGAGAAAGGAAUAAAAGUCUGUUCUAUUUUUAUUAAGAAACUAAACACCUCUUUUUUUGCUGGUCAAGGAGAGCAAGUGUAAUGGACUGGAUAUAAACAACAGGCUUUGAAAUCUAGUUCUAACAUGACUCAGCUGAAAGGGUGCCAUACCUUUCCACAUUCAAGUCACAGAGUUGGUAGAACAUCUGCCGGUAAGGGGGUAAGGCUCCUUCUCGGAAAAUGUAGAUGGAUUCCUAAGAAGAGCAAAGAUAGCAAGGAUUUAAUGCGCGUUUUGUGGUGUAAUAGGGCAACCCUGACACAAGGCAUUUCCUACACAACUCUGUUCCAAGGCAAUAUCCAAGCUGCAGCUCUAGCUGUAGCUUGUUACUACGUAACAGCAGAUCAGAGGUUUUGUUCUAGCAAAAAGGAGGAAAAAAAUAGACUCCUGUUUAAAUAUUUAUUUGGCCUUGCUGGAUUGUGCAAGAUGAUAAACACACGGCAAUGUUUUGCACUUUGCUGCCCAUAAAGUUCUCCAACUUUAUAAACUGAAACAAAACGCUCAUCGUGUUUAAGACUGGGGUAAGACUACAAUUCCCAUCUUGCAGUGUGUAAGAAAUACAUUCAGUGAGCAGCAGAUGAAGUUCUGGAGGGACAUGUUCAGCUAGCAGCUUCCCAGCUUGCAGCCUCAGCCAGGACCACGGGCAGAUGCCCAGACUUACCAUGUAAUAGGCCAGGUACGGCAACAGCAGUUUCAGCUUGUCUGGGUGGACGUUGACAUUGGCUUUUACUGCAUUCCGGGACCAGACUGGACGGACUUCAAAGAGCUAAAAUAAUACAUCAUCACUUCAGUCUUAAAUUCCUCAGGGGAAACAUUUCCCUUUCCCAUCAGCCCUUCCCAUCAACCUUUAAGCCCUGCGGAC